AGUGAACGCUGGCGGCAGGCCUAAUACAUGCAAGUCGAACGGCAGCACAGCAGAGCUUGCUCUGUGGGUGGCGAGUGGCGGACGGGUGAGGAAUACAUGGGAAUCUGCCCAGUCGUGGGGGAUAACGUAGGGAAACUUACGCUAAUACCGCAAUGCGCCCUUCGGGGGAAAGCCGGGGACCGUAAGGCCUGGCGCGAUUGGAUGAGCCCAUGUCGGAUUAGCUAGUUGGCGGGUAAAGGCCCACCAAGGCGACGAUCCGUAGCUGGUCUGAGAGGAUGAUCAAGCCACACUGGGAACUGAGACACGGUCCAGACUCCUACGGGAGGCAGCAGUAGGGAAUAUUGGACAAUGGGCGCAAGCCUGAUCCAGCCAUGCCGCGUGAGUGAAGAAGGCCCUCGGGUUGUAAAGCUCUUUUGUCCGGAAAGAAAAGCGCCGGGUUAAUACCCCUGGUGUCCUGACGGUACCGGAAGAAUAAAGCACCGGCUAACUUCGUGCCAGCAGCC
This 503-nucleotide ribosomal RNA is filed under the name uncultured bacterium. RNAcentral's name for it is "bacterial SSU rRNA". It matches the Rfam family "Bacterial small subunit ribosomal RNA", at positions 29 to 516 of the family's 1533-position model. The record is from RNAcentral.